Molecule: long non-coding RNA, 494 nt
Organism: Gossypium arboreum
Lineage: Eukaryota; Viridiplantae; Streptophyta; Magnoliopsida; Malvales; Malvaceae
Exons: 2
Source: RefSeq, a predicted model, not a curated record
CAGAUCAUUUCUUCAAAAAAAAACCUAAAUCUUUUCUAAAACUCUCUCAACCUCCCUUGGGAGCUUUGUCGGCGCUGAGUAUGCCUCCAUCUCCGCCGCGGCUCUAACCGGAUCCCUAAGGGUCCAUUUACCUUUGGAUCAGAGGGGGAAAUAUCGACUAGAUCGACACCGAACGAUAGGUACAAAGCCAGCUGUGGCGUACGGAGGUAGCGACGUGACGUGCGGUGGUGUGUGGAGGAUGUACGGAGGCGCACUGAAGGCUGUACGAAGGUUGUUGGCUGUGGCGCAAAGGGGAAACUCUAGGGUUUCUGUUUGGCUGAACCUAUGCUUAGGUUUUGGGCCAUUGGGCCUUUUAGGCAUUGGGUUAUUUGAUUUGCAUGGAUUUUUCUAAUGGGGUUUGGGUCUAUUUGGGUCUAGGUAAUUAAGUCAGGGUCUGUAAAUGGACUAUUUAAAAGAUUUGGACUUUAUAAAUUAUUUGCUUAUUUUGGUUUGAA